This 1445-nucleotide ribosomal RNA is filed under the name Salmonella enterica subsp. enterica serovar Wandsworth str. A4-580. Its description in RNAcentral is "LSU rRNA". It matches the Rfam family "Bacterial large subunit ribosomal RNA", at positions 1507 to 2925 of the family's 2925-position model. The record is from RNAcentral. Lineage: Bacteria; Pseudomonadati; Pseudomonadota; Gammaproteobacteria; Enterobacterales; Enterobacteriaceae.
CCGGUUUAAGCGUGUAGGUGUGUGUUCCAGGUAAAUCCGGUUCACUUUAACACUGAGGCGUGAUGACGAGGCACUACGGUGCUGAAGCAACAAAUGCCCUGCUUCCAGGAAAAGCCUCUAAGCAUCAGGUAACAUCAAAUCGUACCCCAAACCGACACAGGUGGUCAGGUAGAGAAUACCAAGGCGCUUGAGAGAACUCGGGUGAAGGAACUAGGCAAAAUGGUGCCGUAACUUCGGGAGAAGGCACGCUGACACGUAGGUGAAGUGAUUUACUCAUGGAGCUGAAGUCAGUCGAAGAUACCAGCUGGCUGCAACUGUUUAUUAAAAACACAGCACUGUGCAAACACGAAAGUGGACGUAUACGGUGUGACGCCUGCCCGGUGCCGGAAGGUUAAUUGAUGGGGUCAGCGCAAGCGAAGCUCCUGAUCGAAGCCCCGGUAAACGGCGGCCGUAACUAUAACGGUCCUAAGGUAGCGAAAUUCCUUGUCGGGUAAGUUCCGACCUGCACGAAUGGCGUAAUGAUGGCCAGGCUGUCUCCACCCGAGACUCAGUGAAAUUGAACUCGCUGUGAAGAUGCAGUGUACCCGCGGCAAGACGGAAAGACCCCGUGAACCUUUACUAUAGCUUGACACUGAACAUUGAGCCUUGAUGUGUAGGAUAGGUGGGAGGCUUUGAAGUGUGGACGCCAGUCUGCAUGGAGCCGACCUUGAAAUACCACCCUUUAAUGUUUGAUGUUCUAACGUGGACCCGUAAUCCGGGUUGCGGACAGUGUCUGGUGGGUAGUUUGACUGGGGCGGUCUCCUCCUAAAGAGUAACGGAGGAGCACGAAGGUUGGCUAAUCCUGGUCGGACAUCAGGAGGUUAGUGCAAUGGCAUAAGCCAGCUUGACUGCGAGCGUGACGGCGCGAGCAGGUGCGAAAGCAGGUCAUAGUGAUCCGGUGGUUCUGAAUGGAAGGGCCAUCGCUCAACGGAUAAAAGGUACUCCGGGGAUAACAGGCUGAUACCGCCCAAGAGUUCAUAUCGACGGCGGUGUUUGGCACCUCGAUGUCGGCUCAUCACAUCCUGGGGCUGAAGUAGGUCCCAAGGGUAUGGCUGUUCGCCAUUUAAAGUGGUACGCGAGCUGGGUUUAGAACGUCGUGAGACAGUUCGGUCCCUAUCUGCCGUGGGCGCUGGAGAACUGAGGGGGGCUGCUCCUAGUACGAGAGGACCGGAGUGGACGCAUCACUGGUGUUCGGGUUGUCAUGCCAAUGGCACUGCCCGGUAGCUAAAUGCGGAAGAGAUAAGUGCUGAAAGCAUCUAAGCACGAAACUUGCCCCGAGAUGAGUUCUCCCUGAGACUUAGAGUCUCCUGAAGGAACGUUGAAGACGACGACGUUGAUAGGCCGGGUGUGUAAGCGCAGCGAUGCGUUGAGCUAACCGGUACUAAUGAACCGUGAGGCUUAACCUU